Molecule: transfer RNA, 73 nt
Filed under: Felis catus (domestic cat)
Lineage: Eukaryota; Metazoa; Chordata; Mammalia; Carnivora; Felidae
Also listed under: 3 other names
Rfam family: tRNA
About the family: Transfer RNA (tRNA) molecules are approximately 80 nucleotides in length.
Source: Rfam by way of RNAcentral
ACCUGACUGGCUCAGUCAGUGGAGCAUGUGACUCUUGAUCUCAGGGUUGUGGGUUCGAGCCCCUUGCUGGGUG